GUGCACCAGUCGAGAAUUUUCACAAUGGGGGAAACCCUGAUGGAGCGACGCCGCGUGGAGGAUGAAGGCCCUCGGGUCGUAAACUCCUGUCAUGCGGGAACAAGAAAGUGAUAGUACCGCAAGAGGAAGAGACGGCUAACUCUGUGCCAGCAGCCGCGGUAAUACAGAGGUCUCAAGCGUUAUUCGGAUUCAUUGGGCGUAAAGGGUGCGUAGGUGGCGAUGUAAGUCUGGUGUGAAAUCUCGGAGCUUAACUCCGAAACUGCAUUGGAUACUGCGUUGCUUGAGGAUUGUAGAGGAGAGUGGAAUUCACGGUGUAGCAGUGAAAUGCGUAGAUAUCGUGAGGGAGACCAGUUGCGAAGGCGACUCUCUGGGCAAUUCCUGACACUGAGGCACGAAGGCCAGGGGAGCAAACGGGAUUAGAUACCCGUGUAGU
RNAcentral lists this ribosomal RNA (433 nucleotides) under uncultured organism. Its description in RNAcentral is "bacterial SSU rRNA". It matches the Rfam family "Bacterial small subunit ribosomal RNA", at positions 346 to 794 of the family's 1533-position model. The record is from RNAcentral.